Molecule: ribosomal RNA, 436 nt
Filed under: uncultured Treponema clone CFS156p
Lineage: Bacteria; Pseudomonadati; Spirochaetota; Spirochaetia; Treponematales; Treponemataceae
Description: bacterial SSU rRNA
Rfam family: Bacterial small subunit ribosomal RNA
Source: RNAcentral
GGCGGCAGGGGGACANUCUCCUAGACGGCGGAUGGUGAUAAAGNGUGGUGACUGCCCUUAGGUUGGGGAUAGCCCUUAGAAAUAGGGGUAAUACCGAAUACGGUUAUCUGGUUAUGACUGGAUAAAGAAAGGAGCUUCGGCUUCGCCUGGGGAUGGGCCCGCGUCCCAUUAGCUAGUUGGCGGGGUAAGGGCUCACCAAGGCUCUGAUGGGUAGCCGGCCUGAGAGGGUGAACGGCCACACUGGGACUGAGAUACGGCCCAGACUCCUACGGGAGGCAGCAGCUAAGAAUAUUCCGCAAUGGUCGGGAGACUGACGGAGCGACGCCGCGUGGAUGACGAAGGCCGGAAGGUUGUAAAAUCCUUUUGUUGCUGAAGAAUAAGCUUUGCAGGGAAUGGCAGGGCGAUGACGUUAGGCUUACGAANAAGCCCCGGUAAA